Molecule: long non-coding RNA, 1087 nt
Filed under: Sus scrofa (pig)
Lineage: Eukaryota; Metazoa; Chordata; Mammalia; Artiodactyla; Suidae
Description: lncRNA (ENSSSCG00070005111.1)
Source: RNAcentral
CGGGGGAGGAAGGAGAAAAGAGCGCCAACAACCCAAAUACAAACUGGGGCAGGACACAGCUGUUCUCAGAUAUGCAAGUAACUUUGAAGGCCAUGUUUAAAGAGACCAUGUCACCUUUUGAAAGUAAACAGCCCAACGGGUGCAAGGAGAACCACAGAACGAAAGUACACGAGCCAUACAGAGGUUAUCAACUCCCCGAUCUGACGGAUUUGCUGGAAGUGCAAGUAUCCCAAACUUUAAUAAAAGCAAUGGACGGUUCCAGGAUAUAAGAAAAGGACACAUUUCGCAUGAGAGCCGGCAUUCUGGGUAAGCCACCUGCUCUCCGUUUGCCUUUGUGAUUAGAAAGAAAAAUGAGAUGAGGUAGAUCCACGAAUGCAUAGACGAGCACACGCGACAGGAAGCCUGGUCACAUUUUGCAUCUGACGUAGCGGUACACCUAGAGUCCCAGGAAAGCCACCCCCCAGGGACCUAGGGCAAAGCCUGGACUCGGCACAACUACAGGACACACGUUAAAGCCACAGACUGCUUGCGUUUGCAGAGCGCACAGACUUCACCCGCAAACACAGGGUGGAAAAGCUGCGUUCGCUCUGGAGGACAGUUGGUUUGAGAGAAAAUCAUAGAACUGAGAAUGGGAAAAAAAAGAAGGUAUGACGGAUGCCAAGAUGCCGCGUCCUGGCCGGAGACACAUGGAGCGGUGAUGCCCACGAUGCUAGGUUCCAAGUUAAUACUGCAUCUGGAUCUUUCCUAAGACCCGGGCAACAAAUGGCAGGGUGUUUCCUGCAAAGGUGCCAGACGCCCCCCUCCCCGCGGCCGUCCGCGCUCGCUCCCAAAUGACAGUUGUAGCACAUACGUCAUAACCGCUUGAAAAGAGAGAGGGAAGCAGUGAUUUCAGACACAGAUUCACAACGACUGCAAGGACUGAGGCCCCCAGAGCAAAAAGAAUCGCUAUGUAACAAGUGCCGUCAGCUUCUCUCCAGCCCGGGGCUCAGGAUGGAGAUGUCGCAGAGAGACACUGCCGUGGCCCGGAGGCCAUUCCAGAGGACCUUCUAGCUAAGGUCACAGGGUCACUGUGGGACCCUGCUUCCCA